RNAcentral lists this ribosomal RNA (676 nucleotides) under uncultured bacterium. Its description in RNAcentral is "bacterial SSU rRNA". It matches the Rfam family "Bacterial small subunit ribosomal RNA", at positions 128 to 822 of the family's 1533-position model. The record is from RNAcentral.
GCCUUACACAAAGGGAUAGCCUCGGGAAACCGGGAUUAAUACCAUAUGAUAUCUAUUCACCGCAUGGCCUAUAGAUUAAAGAAUUUCGGCGUAAGAUGAGCUCGCGUCCCAUUAAUUAGUUGGUGAGGGUAACGGCCCACCAAGAUAGCGAUGGGUAGCCGAUCUAAGAGGAUGACCGGCCACAUUGGAACUGAGAAACGGUCCAAACUCCUACGGGAGGCAGCAGUGGGGAAUAUUGCACAAUGGGGGAAACCCUGAUGCAGCGACGCCGCGUGAGCGAUGAAGGCUUUCGAGUCGUAAAGCUCUGUCCUAUGGGAAGAUAAUGACGGUACCAUAGAAGAAAGCCCCGGCUAAUUACGUGCCAGCAGCCGCGGUAAUACGUAAGGGGCGAGCGUUGUCCGGAAUUAUUGGGCGUAAAGAGUGCGUAGGCGGCAAAUUAAGUCAGAUGUGAAAACUAAGGGCUCAACCCAUAGAUUGCAUCUGAAACUGAUAUGCUUGAGUCAAGGAGAGGAAAGUGGAAUUCCUAGUGUAGCGGUGGAAUGCGUAGAUAUUAGGAGGAAUACCGGUGGCGAAGGCGACUUUCUGGACUUGAACUGACGCUGAGGCACGAAAGCGUGGGGAGCAAACAGGAUUAGAUACCCUGGUAGUCCACGCCGUAAACGAUGAGUGCUAGGUG